Molecule: ribosomal RNA, 352 nt
Filed under: uncultured bacterium
Lineage: Bacteria
Description: bacterial SSU rRNA
Rfam family: Bacterial small subunit ribosomal RNA
Source: RNAcentral
AGAGUUUGAUCAUGGCUCAGGAUGAACGCUAGCUACAGGCUUAACACAUGCAAGUCGAGGGGAAACGACAUCGAAAGCUUGCUUUUGAUGGGCGUCGACCGGCGCACGGGUGAGUAACGCGUAUCCAACCUGCCCACCACUUGGGGAUAACCUUGCGAAAGUAAGACUAAUACCCAAUGAUAUCUCUAGAAGACAUCUGAAAGAGAUUAAAGAUUUAUCGGUGAUGGAUGGGGAUGCGUCUGAUUAGCUUGUUGGCGGGGUAACGGCCACAAGGCUACGAUCAGUAGGGGUUCUGAGAGGAAGGUCCCCACAUUGGAACUGAGACACGGUACCAAACUCCUAACGGGAGGCA